This is a long non-coding RNA of Gasterosteus aculeatus aculeatus (three-spined stickleback), 3840 nucleotides long. Lineage: Eukaryota; Metazoa; Chordata; Actinopteri; Perciformes; Gasterosteidae. The record is from Ensembl.
GUGACCGAUGUGGUCAAACUGAAACUCUACUGCUACAUGGGCGUAGGUCUGCGCCCGCCCACUGCCUCGCUCUGGUCCCCACAGCCACCCACUAUUACGUCAGGCAGGGAAGCCAGUCUAUUUCCUCCCCCUUCUUUAUCUAAAGGAAGUGCCAAAAUAAGCACCGGCGGCGGAGCGGCCGAGCACCUUUCCCACUGGCCACUGAGUCGCCGUCUGAGGAAGAAGUCGCAGGAGCUUAACGCCCGCAGAAUCAACAUGAAGCCCUCCGGUGUUCUCGUGCUCUCCCUGCUCGCAUCCCUCCAUGUCUUCACACCAGGUGUGAGGCUGCAGACGACACAACCAACAAGCCCACCAGGAACAACCGCAAACCAAACAACACCGACGCAGAACAAGACAGCGUCCACAGCAGCGACCUCUUCAUCCACCACCGCAGGACCAUCAGGCAAAACAUCAGCCACAACAGCAGAACCAACAACACCAACACAAUCACCUCCAGCAGAAAUCCAACUAGGUUCAACCACAACACAAAGAGAUGCAACACCGACGCAGAACAAGUCAGCAUCCACAGCAGCGCCCUCUUCAUCCACCGCCACAGCCCAUCAUGUCACCAGCCCGAUUCCUGAGAACGGAAAACCUGAGCAGAAAACCCAUCAACCUGGGAGGACCACGACUUCCUCCGCAGCAUCUUCAGGCGGCACGAACGGCACCAGCACAGCUGAAAACAAGACAGACAAUCAAACUUUGACACCAAACACUCCUCUCGAUUCUAACACAGAGAAACCCAGAGAAACUGCACCUGCAGGUAAGAAGAGAUUUUGGUGCAAGUACAUCACGAGUAAUGAGCAAGCGUGGCUUCAUUCAGUAUUCCAAGAUUGGCUGAAAAUAUCUAUUUAAUAUCUAUUUAUUUUUCUGCAGCUACAGCAGAGAAUGGCCCAGGUUCCCACUCUGGCAGUGAACAAAGAGUCCAAUCAGACAAAAGGUGGUGGUGGAUUCUGCUGCCCAUCGGCCUCGUGGGAGCUGCUGCUAUCAUUGUCAAGUUCAAAAGCAAGAAGGUCCACGUUAACUCGGAAACCGUCGAUAUUGGAACUGAGAACGCAUCUUUCCAGAGCAGACCCGAAAGCGCCAAAGAUGGUGUCAUGCUCCUCGGGGUGAAGUCAUCGGGUGGAGAAGACAAUGCUUCUGCGAGAUAAAAAAAAGAAGGCCGGCAACAUCCAGAACGGCCAGCGGUUGAGUCACACCUGUCGCCCACGCACCAAAUGGCUCAAGGAACAGUUCAGAUGUUUGAUUUUGUGAAUAUAUUGUGAAGGAGAAAAGUCUGCAUGAUUCUGUGUUGAACGCAUUUCUGUUUUUGACUGUGAUAAUUGAUCUCAGAUUAAGUGAACUUUUAGUUUCAACUACGAUAUCCUCCUACAUACAGUUAAUCUUUGAGUUGAAAAUAUGAGAUAAAUACUUUAAUAAAUGAACCACUCCCUGUGGACGUGAGUGAAUGAACUGCGCAUCCUCGACUUCAGUGUUCUGUUGAUGAAGAGAAACCUAAAAACACGUGAGGGACUAUAAUGCUUGAUGUAAUGUAAUGCAUCACCGUCCCUUUUCAUGGUUUUGUUUGUGUUGUUUCAUCAUGUAUGUGCCUUCAACUGUAACGGCAAGAAUAGAUUUGUUGGGUUUUCUUUGUGUGCCAUUACAGACGGCAGUUGAACUGAGGUUCUGAGCUUCAGAGGUGUGCUGCUUUUUACUUUUCAUGUGUUUCAGUGAAGUGUUUCGCAUUACGUUGUUAAAUAUUCCACCAUGCUUCUCCACUGGCAAAGUAUUUUAAACCCCCACCGUUUUCCUUGUAUGUCAGUGGUAUAAAUUCACCAUCAUUUUUUGUGUGUAACAAUUGAAGCACAAGAAACUAUUUUCAGUUGUAUUUAAAGACACCGUAACUGCUUCAUGGCUGGACUUUGUUGUUUUACACCUCAACAUCCUCAAUAAAUCACUAAAACAGUUCAGCUUUGCAGAUUCAGAUGAAAUUAUUUGGGGUUAUUUGAUUGUUAGUUUGGUUUAAUAUCACCAAUGUUAAAUGUUUAAAGCGAUUUUCAGCCACAUAUUUUUUUAACUCAUUUAGUAGCUUUUCUUAUGGCAAGUCAUUGAAUUCCGAAUUCCUGCCAUAUUUUUGUUUUUUAGUUUACAAAGACAUGAUGUUUUCUGUUCUGCUUGUAAAUGAGGUAUAAUGUGCUUUAACCACCUGGACUGGCGGUUCAGUAAUCUGCCACUAGAGGGAGCCACUGCUCAGCGCAAAAGCAAGAAAGGAGCCGCGGUUCUGGCCCAGUUCUGUUGUUUAUUACAGUCACAUUUCAUCGUGGGUGUUGACAGAAGAAUGAGACAUUGGCAACCGGUGUGAAAAUCCCGCUCUUCUUGAUCUUCUUAGCACAGCGCUCACACACAGCACCGCAGAUACUUCACAACCAAGCUCCUUGUGUUGUGAUUUUCAUGGAACUAAUUAAAUGUCAUACUAGCUUCUGAAUUCACGGGGCCUUUUGUAGCUGUGCCGGCUUUAUAUUCGUGGCCUUUGUAAGGUGAGACCGGGCAGCGACUUCGACCGUGGCCCUCAAAAGAGACAGUGAGCAGACGGGCCGCUGUGGUACCGGCCGAGUUACGGCCAGGAUGUCAUGGCCGGCCGGUCACCCUCUUUAGGGCCAAGUGCAUCUCUGAUGUGUCUGAGAGGGAAAAAUCAAUGUUAGAAAUGAAUUCAAUGGAGUGCCUUCGUUGCUGAAUAAUGCCAUCGUGAGGUCAGUCUUAUUGAUUUCAGACUGUGUGCUCUCGAGAACACAUUUCCACACAUUCGAUCUCUUGAUCCGCGUUACUUGCAUCACCGCAAACAUUACAGAUAAGAACAUUAGGAGUGUUUCUGUGGAUUAUCCGCAGAUUGUCUUGAAUCCAUUAGUCAACCAGCAAUUUUAAUUGAUUUGUUUUAGUUUUUCUGAUGCAUUUUCCUUGUUUGAUUCUUUUUGUAGCAUUUGAUAAAUUACACAAACGUGUAAAAAGCAGAGAUAACGGUUCAUUAGAUUCAGGUGGCCUUGGGUCUGUUUUAUUGCCUCAUGCUGCUCAUUUGUGCCAAACCUAGCACAGCUCUCUCAUCUGCCAAUGACAUGAUGGCAUGUCAAAGUCAAAUAAUUAACUUGAGCCGAUGCCGCGUUAAAACUUUUCUAUUUUCACAAACGGACUGUUGCAGGGCGUUCAUGCACCACCAAGUAACAGCAGCUGCUCCUUUCCACGAUCCAACCAGCGCCUUAGAUAUAUGACGAAUAAGUGAAUAUAUCGUGUGCGCUGGCUCUAACAAACAAAAACAUACCAAAUGAUACGUGAGGAAACCUACUUCUUUACUUGAGAAAUGCCAUCUAUGUGCAAGGCACAUGCACUGCAAACACACAUGCACUUGCAAACCGGCAUCUCCUGCGGUCGAGAAGUGCCGAUCAGCAAAAAGGCUCCAGUUGUUGAAUUUCAUGGGGGAGGGAGGAGCAGGGGGUGGUGUCAGCCUGGCAUGCCGGGCGUCUUGAUGGGGGAUAACAGAAGGUUCAUGGAUGGAUUAGUAACCUGAAACACAACACCUUUUAUCUUGUGCCUCAGGAGUUGGCACGCGGAGGUAAUUCAGCAGCAGAUUUUGGUGGACUCGCCUUACCGAUGCCCUGAGUCUGAAGGUCAAAAGCACCACAGCGUCUCUGCCAGAGUGACUGGAGCACAUCAAAAAAAAAGGAAGGAGAGUUAAAAUAGAGGUAGAAUGUGGUACGGAGCGGGCAAUGGGAAACAUCUUAAGCACCGGCAGCAGCGAAGGGAUUGAUCCUCCACCGAGCUGACAGUCGC